AGAGUUUGAUCCUGGCUCAGGAUGAACGCUGGCGGCGUGCUUAACACAUGCAAGUCGAGCGGAGCACAUCAUUGGAAUCCUUCGGGAGGAAGAGGAUGUGGCUUAGCGGCGGACGGGUGAGUAACGCGUGGACAACCUGCCCUAUGCAGGGGGAUAACAUCCGGAAACGGGUGCUAAUACCGCAUAAGCGCACAGUACCGCAUGGUACGGUGUGAAAAGCUGAGGCGGCAUAGGAUGGGUCCGCGUUGGAUUAGGCAGUUGGCGGGGUAACGGCCCACCAAACCGACGAUCCAUAGCCGGCCUGAGAGGGUGGACGGCCACAUUGGGACUGAGACACGGCCCAGACUCCUACGGGAGGCAGCAGUGGGGAAUAUUGCACAAUGGGGGGAACCCUGAUGCAGCGACGCCGCGUGAGUGAGGAAGUACUUCGGUAUGUAAAGCCCUAUCAGCAGGGAAGAAAAUGACGGUACCUGACUAAGAAGCCCCGGCUAACUACGUG
RNAcentral lists this ribosomal RNA (499 nucleotides) under uncultured Marvinbryantia sp. RNAcentral describes it as "bacterial SSU rRNA". It matches the Rfam family "Bacterial small subunit ribosomal RNA", at positions 8 to 507 of the family's 1533-position model. Lineage: Bacteria; Bacillati; Bacillota; Clostridia; Lachnospirales; Lachnospiraceae. The record is from RNAcentral.